AGCGAACGCUGGCGGCAGGCCUAACACAUGCAAGUCGAACGAACCUUUCGGGGUUAGUGGCGGACGGGGGAGUAACACGUGGGAACGUGCCUUUAGGUUCGGAAUAACUCAGGGAAACUUGUGCUAAUACCGAAUGUGCCCUUCGGGGGAAAGAUUUAUCGCCUUUAGAGCGGCCCGCGUCUGAUUAGCUAGUUGGUUGAGGUAAUGGCUCACCAAGGCGACGAUCAGUAGCUGGUCUGAGAGGAUGAUCAGCCACAUUGGGACUGAGACACGGCCCAAACUCCUACGGGAGGCAGCAGUGGGGAAUCUUGCGCAAUGGGCGAAAGCCUGACGCAGCCAUGCCGCGUGAAUGAUGAAGGUCUUAGGAUUGUACAAUUCUUUCACCGGGGACGAUAAUGACGGUACCCGGAGAAGAAGCCCCGGCUAACUUCGUG
Molecule: ribosomal RNA, 434 nt
Filed under: uncultured bacterium
Lineage: Bacteria
Description: partial 16S ribosomal RNA
Rfam family: Bacterial small subunit ribosomal RNA
Source: RNAcentral